UACGUAGGGGCGAGCGUUGUCCGGAAUUAUUGGGCGUAAAGGGUACGUAGGCGGUUUAGAAAGUCAGAUGUUAAAGCGUGAGGCUCAACCUCAUAAAGCAUUUGAAACUUCUAGACUUGAGUAGUGGAGAGGAAAGUGGAAUUCCUAGUGUAGCGGUGAAAUGCGUAGAUAUUAGGAAGAAUACCGAAGGCGAAGGCAGUCUUCCAAGCCGUUAUUGACGCUCAACUGCGAAGGUGUGGGUAUCAAACAGGAUUAGAUACCAGCGUAGUCACUGA
RNAcentral lists this ribosomal RNA (275 nucleotides) under uncultured prokaryote. RNAcentral describes it as "partial 16S ribosomal RNA". It matches the Rfam family "Bacterial small subunit ribosomal RNA", at positions 524 to 803 of the family's 1533-position model. The record is from RNAcentral.